Molecule: non-coding RNA, 18 nt
Filed under: Arabidopsis thaliana (thale cress)
Lineage: Eukaryota; Viridiplantae; Streptophyta; Magnoliopsida; Brassicales; Brassicaceae
Source: RNAcentral
CACGUCUGCCUGGGUGUC